RNAcentral lists this long non-coding RNA (3143 nucleotides) under Xyrichtys novacula (pearly razorfish). The record is from RNAcentral. Lineage: Eukaryota; Metazoa; Chordata; Actinopteri; Labriformes; Labridae.
GUUGAGAUUUGUUUCCAAGAGAUUUCUGCAAGAGGAUCUUCACAUAAACCCACUUCUGCAGAGUUUUGAAAAACUUGUAAGGGGAAGCAAGAUGAAUACGCUUAAAAAAAAAAACUAAACUAAACUAAAACUCUGUCCUGUUUUUCUGAAUAAAUGAGAUAACCCGAGUGUUCCUUAAAAUCCCAGUGGGAGCUCAUAUAGGCCAGUAAUUUCAGGAUUUCGUUUUUAAGAGUUAUAUGGUGGCAUUAAAUCAUUUUAAAAUCAAUCAUCCAUGUCAACUUGUUUGUAUCUUUAUUGAAUUGAUAGGUGAUAAAUAAAGCUUGGUGUUAGUUACAGAAGUCAGAGGCUGCUGCUAGGAUCAGCUGAUACACUGCUAAUUGAAUUAUUCCCUUCAAUCACAGCCUGUUCUCAUAAAACAUUACAAUAGCUUUAUUUAUCCCUAUUUGGUCCAUUUAAACUUGUCUUCUCUCUCACUGAUCCAUGCUGCUGCUGGUUAUACCCUCUUGGGAGAAUCCAUAAAGCCAAAGCAAAAGCAGAGCCUUAAACUCAACCUUAUUUGAUGGCCUAACCCUAACCCUUUGUCCCAAACAUGCAGCAUUAUGAUUUAUACUGAUAAAGCAAACAGAACAUAAAGGUUAAUCUUCAUUUUACUGCCACAAAGAAAAAUAACGAUUUUUAGGAAAAGGUGGUUGCUGUACUCUGGGAGAGUUGGUUUCAAUCUGCAAAAACUCAGCUGAAGUGCUUCAUUAUAACUGCACAUCUUCAUAGCAGCUGCUUUGUCUGAUGUUUACUAAACCAGCCUCCAAUUUCACACGUCCGCACUCUUUAUCAAACCCAAAGACCUUUUAAAACUGCCACUCUGCUCGUUUUCAGUGGUGUUCUCAAUAAUCCAAACCGUAAAACCAACUGUACCCUGAUGAUACAACCUUCCAGUCAUGACUGAGCUCAGUUUGUGUUGUUACAAUACUCCUCUUUUUAGAUCUCACAGAAAUGAUUCUGUCACACUCUUUUUUUAAAAGAGUUCCCUGAGGAAAACCUGACAGCUCAUGAAUGGUCAGAGUGUCUCUGCUGGUUAAUAACUUGCUUUGAAAUUAUUUUACAAGAAAAAAAGGACCAUGUAAUUCAAAACAAGACAGCAAGCUCCUGUCUAAUGAAGGAAUGACCACUGUCUGAUGUGUCAAUCAUGAGCAUCCACUUCAGAAUUAAGGCGUGACAACCAGCCCCGGUCUCCCCUACACAGAGUGCUUUGAUUUCUACUCUCACUGAAAAUGGGCUGUGAAAUUAUCGCUGUUUGACUCUGACGCUGUCUGAAGAUAAAUCAGGAGUCUCGAUGACAAUGUCAGGACGUCUGUCUGCUGCUGGACCAACACUUCCGGCGAGAGGAGGCACGCGUCCAGCGGCAAAAUCAAGUUCUCAUUAAACCUCAACUAAAAACCAGGAAAUAUAGCUAUUGGAUUCUACAAAAUAAAAGCCCCAACCUCAGUGUGACCAGUCUAUCUCCCUCGUCAGCCUCCUCGUGGAUAAAAGGCUGAAAGAGUCCAAAUAUGCACGUAAUAGGCGUCAGGGGGAGCCCAGGAUGCAACUUUCGGCUUGUCAACCUCUCGUGAAAUUAGUGACCAAAAAGGUUAAUAGAGAUGCAAAACUGUCAAAAUUGCCCAAUGGUCUCACAAGUCAAAUCAUGUCAUCUGCUCUUAAAAGCAGAGGGACCUCUCAGUUCAAAUCCAACAUCCCUGGUGGUAACAUCUAUGUCAUAGGUAAAAAUCUACAAAUCUAUGAAGGCUCCAUUAAUGCUGAACAAUAUCUACAGGUUUAAGAGCAACAUCUGCUGACAUCCAGACAAAGACUUUUUUCAGGGAAGACCUUCAUAUUUAAGCAAGACAUUUACAAACCACAUUCUGACAACAGGGAUUACAACAGCAUGGCUUCAUUUUACAAUUUUUGUGAAUUCAAACGAGAAAUAUAAUAUCUCCAAAAAUUUCAGAAUCUGAAAAACCUUUUGUUUAAACUUACGAUGUAAACCUACUGCCUUUGUUCUAUUUUCAUUGGUUAUAUGUGGACAAAAAGCUCUGUUCAGGUUACAUAAAAUGCCGUCCUUUUAUAAUCUGUAUCGCUUUGACGCCUAAAAGUUGCUGUACGUGUUGUAAAAGUUUAUCUGAUCUAGUUUUAUUUUAUCUUUUGUGUCUUGUUAAACUGACACUGACGCCUCUGUUUUGCGCUUUUAUUUCGAAGAAAAUGACCGGAUGUUCUGUGUCUGGUCACAGUAGGUAGUUUGACACUGGUGCGUCCAGGCGGCGGAGGCACACACACAUAAGCUGUGCACACACAAAGAAAGGUAUCCAAUACUAAAUAUUUGCAUUACAGGUCAUACUAUUACAUCCUUAUACGUUAUAUUUGUCUUUUAGAUGAAGCUGGGACCAUGAACGUAUCCGUGUUGCCUUCAGGGGAGAAUUUAAGAGUCGGUCCAUCCUGUGACUGAGAUCAGCUGCAUGUCGACGGAUAUAGCUUUAAAAUUGCGAGGAAAACCUUUGAGCAAACGGCGUGUAGUGUUUGUUUGGACCCUAUCGGCUUUGGAGGGUUGGUUACUCUUUGACAUGGCUGUAAUUCCUCGCUGACUUCUUCAGGUGAAAGUUUCAUUCGCCUGAGAAAUUGUUGAGGCUCCCUGCCGACUGCGACAUCGCCCCGUCGGUGUAUUUCUGCUUUUCAAGUCCGACCUUUUCGCCUCGAUGCCGAGCAGAGGUCUAACUGUCUCGUGUUUCCCUCAGUGGUGUCAGGAGGCAGAACUAGGCCUUUAGCCGAACUAUUUCACCAAAUGAUUUCCUUUGUCGCAGCUCGGCAAGGCUAAAAAUAACGCCCGGCUGCAAACAUUAGCUGAGGUCAGAAUUAAGCGUUAUGAAAGAGGGAAAUGCUCCGCCGAUAAGACGGAUAAGUUCCCCAAAAACAUCAACACAUGAGGGAUUUAAACUGAUGGGUCCGGUUAACCCGGGUCAACAUCUUCUCCAGGCCUGGUUGUUAAAAUGACAGAAGCGUUUACGGAGUCCCUGACUGCAGGGGGAUCCGUGGUUACAGCAUAUAGCCGUAAACGUUCACAGAUAAGAGCGCGCAAGACUCCCUUUAAAUAUCCCAACAUUUCAACUUGAUCGCUA